RNAcentral lists this unclassified non-coding RNA (279 nucleotides) under plant metagenome. RNAcentral describes it as "partial contains small subunit ribosomal RNA, internal transcribed spacer 1, and 5.8S ribosomal RNA". The record is from RNAcentral.
UCUCCGUAGGUGAACCAGCGGAGGGAUCAUUACAGAGUUCCUGCCCUACCGGAUAGAUCUCCCACCCUCUGCUAAACUUACUUUGUUGCUUCGGCCGGCCGUUCUCCCCCGCCCCGACUCCCGGCCCCGGCCGCUCAGCGCCCGCCAGAGGACCCAAAACCCUGCACUUUAGUGUCUACUGUAUACAGUAUAAACUUUAAAACUUUCAACAACUGAUCUCUUGGUUCUUGCAUCACUCAAGAACUCAGCAGAUCGGACGAGCGCACGCCUGAACUUCCG